Mesocricetus auratus (golden hamster) is the source of this 6161-nucleotide long non-coding RNA. RefSeq lists it as uncharacterized. The record is from RefSeq and is a predicted model, not a curated record. The transcript is spliced from 2 exons. Lineage: Eukaryota; Metazoa; Chordata; Mammalia; Rodentia; Cricetidae.
GCCUGUGUGACAGAGGAAAAACAAUCGUCAUGUAGUUGCUGGUCUAUCCUGGGAAGGCAAAGUGUGAGGACCUGCCUUCAGAUUCUAGCCACCCACGGAAAGUCAGAGGCGGCAGGCUGAGCACUCUCGAAAUCCAGCACCAUUACAAGAUGGUGGAUGGAGGCUGAUUAGUUCCAGAACCACUGGCCAGAGAUUCCUGUUUCAAACAAGGUAUCAAGGAAGGUCAAGGUACCUACCCACUGACACCACCUGCCAAUGGCUUACCUGUCCACUAGAAUAAAAGGAACAAAAGUUCAUGUGCCAGACCCUGGGCCAUGACUCAAUGAUGCAAUGGCUGCCAACUGGGAGCCCCACCUGUGCUGUGGUUUAAACGUGAACUGAUGGCGUGUCUGGGGAGACUGUGGCACCUUUAGGAGGUGAAGAAGUGCUGAAGACGUGGGCCACUGGGGCAGACCUGGGAGUUUUAUGGCCUGACCCCAACUCCUAUUCACUCUCUGCUUCCCGAUGGCAGAGCCGGUGUGAAUAGUCAGCCUCCUGACCCUGCCUCCAUGCCAUCCACCAAAAUGACUUAUUCCCGAAACUAUAGGGCACAAUAGCCUCCCUCAGUCACAGCAGUGAGAAAAGGAAGCAAGCAGUGUGACCCAUUAGUGUCUAAAGGGUACAGGGAAUCAGGAAUCCUAGACCUCUGCCCCAGCACCAACAGACACAGACAUACUCUACGAUGGCGUCGCGGUCUGCGAUGUCCCCGAGCACCAUGCGCUGGAUGAUGCUGUUGUGCUCCUCUUCUGAGAGGUUCUUGUAGGACACCAGGGGGAUGUUAUACUUUGUGGCUGGUGAGGGGUCCACUCCCUGGAGCCAAGGGUGGCUUUCAAUCUCUUCCAGAGAGGCUCUCCUUUUGGGGUCUCUCUGCAGCAUCCGUGUGAUCAGGCUGAGAAGAGAAGGAAUGGUUACUGAAGCAGACAGCUGGCAAGGACUAGUAAUGAUGGGUGUCACCACCAAGCAGUUUCUUACAGUCACCUUUCUAGUAAUGAUGGGUGUCACCAACAGUUUCUUACACAGUCACCUUUCUAGGCUUGCUGACGAAUUUUUACAAAAACUGCUGCCACCAUAUUUACAAAAUAAAACAAUCUCAGCCCCUUAGUGUCCCUGAUGACGAACAAAGCUCCCUGCUUUUUAGAAGUAACAACCCCUGUCCCUGAAUCACAAGCUGGCCUAGUGCACUACCCAGCUUAUUUCACAGGAAUGGAUGACUCUCCUGAUGGAAAAGAGUUUAUGGAAGAACUUUUUAGAAAUGUGUUGACAAAAAGUAAACAAGGGACGCUUGAUGCUAAAACAGGUGAAGCAGGUAUCAUGGGGACAAACAGCUGGCAGCUUCAACCACCCUGCUUUGUGCAAAGGCCACACUGGGUUCAUGCUACUGAGUACAAGGGGCAGCAGCUAGUGAUGGUGGAAGAAAAGAGAGGAUCCCAUCUCAGUGCCCAGUGAGAAAGGUGAAAGAAAUCCACUCCUCACAAGAGGACGAGAAGGAAGCUGUGAGCUCAGCAGUGGCUCUGGAAGACACCUUUCUGUAGAAUGUACCUUAAACUUCCCAACAAUAUUUCAAAAACUAGAGCAGAGGACUGAAGACAACUGGAGGAGCCAUCAGCAAGACCCCAACAGAAAAUCAGAAUACAGAUGCUGCUGAACGUGCCACAGACUUUCACUGUGCUCAGGUAGAAACAAAACUCAAAAAUAUGACUGGGAAACAAGAAUAGGCAACAUUAUGCUAGACGGGCUUCUAAAAGUGAAAAACAACCACUGUAAUUGAAAAAAGUAAGCAAUGGACACAUUUAAGAAAUUAAAUGUAAGCAAAUUCAUGAAAUGAAAUACAAAUCCAAGAAGACACUUUUCUCUGUAGACUGAGACAGAAAAUACCAAGAAUGAAAGAUGAGAUGAAGUGCAAACAGCUAACAGCCUAGAGGAUAUAAAAAAAGAGAGAGAAAGCAUAUUUGGGAAGGCAGUAGCUGAGAAUUUUCCAAAUCCAUGAAAGAAUGUAGCUCAUAAGCUAGAGAGCCUAACACAGUCUAAGCACAUGGAGGCUCCAAGAGAAAAGCAGAGCUGUGGAGCAGGAGCUAAGGCAGACAGCUGGCUUCCCAAUGCAGCAACGGAUUCUGCCGAGGACUGGCCCAGGCUUUCUAAUCGCAUGGCCUUCAUGGACACACAGCAUAGACACUCUCAAGGCAGCAUUAGCCACCAACAGCAAAUGCAAACAUGAAGGAUGUCAUUCUGGUGGAAGAAUGCAAUUCUAACUGAGAAGGGAGCUAGCAAAGUUCACGUUAAACAUUUAGAAGAUUAUCAACAAUUUCUGACUAUAUAAAAUUUUAAUCUGUAGUUAGAAAAAAUUACUAAAAUAUUAGAUAGUUAAAAUAUUAGGAUUUUAAAAUGUUUUAGAAGACAAUAGAGAGAAGUAUUAAUUGUAGAUUUUUUAAAAAACUAAAAUAAUAGCCUACAACUCCCCAGCUGGCUGAAACAUGAGAUAAAUGGCAGAAAAGGGAAAUCUCUACCACCCUCUGGGUCAGAAGGUAAGGUCACAGGAGACAUGUACAGAAAUACAUCCACACCUGCAUCUACCACUCACCACAACAAAUGCAGAUGGGACAAGCUCCACAGCUCAAAGGACCGAAACUGACAUUCAAGAAAGUCCAGACUGCUCAAAACAUGAGGAAAACUCAUACACAGACGCUGGCCCAACAGGGCAAGUGUGGGGAGCCCUUGAAACACCACACACAGGCCUAAACAGGAAGUAUUACUCUGAUGUAAACUGACACAGAGGGCUAAUUCAAUUCACCAGGAAGACAGUAGCUUUCAACUUACCUGCAUCUAAGAACUUUACUUCAAAACUCUCAAAGCAAAAACUGAUAAACUUUAAGAAUAAAGCUACCAUCACAGUGGGAGAUUAUCUCAGUAAGUGAAGAAAACUCUGGAUGCAAACAACUUUUAAAAAUAUAAUUAAUGAGCUUGACCUUAAAGAUAUAUAGACCUCUGACCCCAAUUCUACCAAGAACAAGACUGUAACAAUUAUCUUCAUGAUAGGCAUAAACAAACCUCGAAAAUGUGAAAACAUGGCAACACACAGACUGUAUUCUUUGACUAUAAUGUAGCUUAGAAAUCAAAAGCAUCAGCUAACUAAAAAUAAAACCACCUGUAAACAAGGAAGGCAUCAAAUAAGACAAUGAAAACUAGAAAAUUCUAUGAGCUCAAUAACAAAGACUAUUGAUCAAAUUCCGUGUGAUGAAGCUAACCUGUCCCAGAAGCAAUGUAUAGUCCUAAACAUUUUAUCGUAAAAGAGGCUCUAUGAGCGGAAUAACUAAGGUUCUGAAUAACAGAAUCAGCUCCUGGGUCAGGGAAGAAAUAACAAGGACAGGUAAGAAGCAUCAGAAGCCAGUCCUUGUGAAGAGACGGAGGACAACUGGAGGACGCAGCCUCAUCAGCAGCAUCCUGGUUGGUAAAGGUCUCACAGACACUCAAGGCCGAUGCACCAGGCAGUCAGAUAAAAUGGGCUCCUUCCUUAAAAUACGCCACUUAGCAAAACACACUAGAAAAAGUUGGGGUUCGAGGCAGGGUUUCUCUGUGUAGCCUUGGCUGUCCUGGAACUAGCUAUGUAAACCAGGCUGGCCUUACACUCAGGGAAAUCCACCUGCCUCUGCCUCUGGAAUACUGGGAUUAAAGGUGGCAUCGCCAGCACCCACUGUUGCUUUGUUUCUUAUCUAAAGGUCUUACAGUUAUUAAAACAAUCCUUCUAGGAAGGAGACAUGGAGGCAACAUCUCACAUCUUAGGAAAGGAGCAUCCAUGUUGAUUCUAUAACCUGUGGGCUUCAAAUGAUGCAGUUUGAUGUAAAGUGAGAUUUGUUUUUAAAUGGGGAUAGAGAAGAUAAUCUGGCCUGUACUUGGUGUAUACCUGCUUCCUAGGGGGAUAGUAAGAGCAAGAACCUGAGUCACCACCCACACACAAAGCUCCCCUUGUCCUACAGCACAAAAUCACCGAACACACACACAAACUUCCCGUGUGCUCCAACCUAAAACCACCACAUACACCAACACAACUCCAUUAUGCUCCAACCUAAAAUCACUACCAACAGACACAUACAUAUACAGAGCCUCCCGUGUGCCCCAGUCUAAAUCACCAACACACACUCACAGCACACACUAGACUCAUACAUGAUCUAACCUAAAAUCAACAAGCACAUAUGAUCUACUGAGUACUACAGUGUAAAACCACCCUGACCAACAUAAACAUACACACAGCCUUCCAUGUGUUCCAGCCUAAAAUCAACAACCACCAAUACAGGAGACAGGACUUCUCAUGUGCGCUAGACUAAAAUCAUCAUCACACCAACACACAGCCUCCUGUGUGCAACAGCCUAAAAUCACCACCAACAGCAACCCAUACACAGCCUCCUACAUGUUCCAUCCACAAAUCACCACCAUCCCACACAGAGCCUCGCCUGUGCUCCAGCCUGAGCUGUAUGCUUCACACUGAACCCUCAUCAUUUUCACAGUAGCCCUCGUAAGUACACUGCACCAUACUAACAUAGGCAGAAGCAAAAAAGCCAGCAUGUGAGCCCACAGAAUUGAGUGCCCAGGUUGGGAUUCUACCUGAAAAAGAACCCUCAAUCUGUUGUAGUUCUUCCUUACAGCUGACAGGAAAAACUCAAAAUUUUGUUGAUGCAGAAAAAAAAUUUAACCGGUAACUACAAUCUCGGCUGGUUUGUUUAAAAAUAUCACAAACUUGAAACACCUUUUUCCAAGACUGCACCUCACUGGUGACGGCCCUAUAACCCUGAAAACUCACAGGGAGAAACCCCAAAGGCAGUCAGUGCUGGCUUCCCACAGUGCACAGCCUCCUGUGCUGGGAGGACGUGAACUCGGGACAGGCUGCUGUCUACUAAGACAUGCUGCCACGAGACGGUCAGGAGGAGCCCUGCAGCGACUACUCCUGCCAGAGGAAAGCCCACGGCUUUUCUGGGGUCUCAAACAGUACCCAACAGUCUUGCUUUUGCCACUGAAGAAAAAGGCAGAUGAGGGAAGGUCUUAACCCCAACUUCUGGAGGCUGAAAAGGCAAAAUGGAUUUCUUGAAAACAUGGGUUAGAAAUAACCAAGAAUGUUUUGUACUCUUCUGUUGAAUUUCUUAUCAAGUACUAAUGGGUGGCCCCAAACAAUAACAGUAGAAACAUUCAUAAAUUAAAUGAACUCAAAUCCCUGCAUGCUGAAGGUAUGUCAGGCCUCUUUGUGCGUUGGUGAGUCAGCUUCUGUUUAAUGGAGUUGCGCCGUGUGCACAGGGUUUACUUACUCCCUGCAGCCUGCAGACACGCGGGGCGGCACAGUGUACUUGCAGUCCAUGAUCAUGGUCAGUGUCUCGCUGUCAUUGGCCUCUUGGAAGGGCGGCUGCCCACACACAAGCAUGAAAAGGAUCACGCCCAGGCUCCAUAUGUCUACAAAAGAAAGACAAUAUUUAAAUACUGGAGUAUCUAGAAAACCAGGAUCAUUAGGACGUGGACAGGUAGGCUAACAAGCAUUUUAUCCUUGAAGUAAAACUACACAAAGCAGACUGCAAAAUCUCAACAGAGCAGAGGGAGUCAGCCUGUCAAAUAGGAGGAAAACCAGGCUUAAGCCAAGGGACAAGGCCCUCUUCCCCCAACUGACUGUAGCACACCCAGCAUUAAAAACAUUGAAACUGCGAGGCUGGAACGAUUUGCCUGAGGUCAGCAUUAUCUCCGUUGCUCUCCCUCAUUCUGGGGUGGUAGCCAGGUCACACAAGUGCUGAGAGAAAGCUGCAGCUCAGAGACAAGCAACAUUUAGCUACCACACAAACCAAACAAAAGCCCAAGCUGGGUCUCCACCAUUUACAUGGUAGAGCUGGGCCCACGGUGUAAGUACUCAGCCUGCAAACAGUAAGAAGAAAAGAAAAGUUAAGACAUGGAGGACUGGGAGAGAGACAGCUCACCUGCGAGGGAGGAGCUGUCUGCCCCUUGCACAGGACCCGAGUCGGGUGCUCAGCACAAGCUGCAGAGGCUCUGAUGCCCUCUCUUGGUCUCUGUGGGCACUGCACUCAUAUGCGCAUCCCCCCAACACACAUUAUGUAAAAAGUAAAAAUAAAUAAAGUCUUCAUAUUUUUUAAGGA